Molecule: non-coding RNA, 44 nt
Filed under: Tripos fusus
Lineage: Eukaryota; Dinophyceae; Gonyaulacales; Ceratiaceae
Source: RNAcentral
GAAGGCAGCAACGCUCAAGGAGGCGUUGGACGGGUGCCUUGGGG